UGGGUCGUGGAUCGUAUGGUACAGUGAAGAGGGCGCUAUGGAGAGACCGACCGGUGGCCGUGAAACUGAUAGAGAGCGAGUCGGAGCAAAAAGCAUUCCAACGGGAGGUGAGGCAGCUCUCGCGCGUCCGUCAUCCUAACAUAGUACAGCUGUACGGAGCCUGCACCCAGCAACAAGUGUGUCUAGUGAUGGAAUAUGCAGAGGGAGGAUCCUUGUACAAUG
Molecule: long non-coding RNA, 222 nt
Organism: Priapulus caudatus
Lineage: Eukaryota; Metazoa; Priapulida; Priapulimorpha; Priapulimorphida; Priapulidae
Exons: 3
Source: RefSeq, a predicted model, not a curated record